RNAcentral lists this ribosomal RNA (465 nucleotides) under uncultured bacterium. RNAcentral describes it as "bacterial SSU rRNA". It matches the Rfam family "Bacterial small subunit ribosomal RNA", at positions 55 to 513 of the family's 1533-position model. The record is from RNAcentral.
AUGCAAGUCGAGGGGUAACGGAAGUAGCUUGCUACUAGACGACGACCGGCGCACGGGUGAGUAACGCGUAUGUAAUCUGCCUUGUACAGAGGGAUAGCCCAGAGAAAUUUGGAUUAAUACCUCAUAGUAUUACUGGAUCGCAUGAUUUGGUAAUUAAAGCUCCGGCGGUACAAGAUGAACAUGCGUGACAUUAGCUAGUUGGUAAGGUAACGGCUUACCAAGGCUACGAUGUCUAGGGGUUCUGAGAGGAUGAUCCCCCACACUGGUACUGAGACACGGACCAGACUCCUACGGGAGGCAGCAGUGAGGAAUAUUGGUCAAUGGACGCAAGUCUGAACCAGCCAUCCCGCGUGAAGGAUGACUGCCCUAUGGGUUGUAAACUUCUUUUAUAUGCAAAUAAACCUACUUUCGUGAAAGUAGCUGAAGGUAGCAUAUGAAUAAACACCGGCUAACUCCGUGCCAGCA